GAUGAAGAACGUAGCGAAAUGCGAUAAGUAAUGUGAAUUGCAGAAUUCAGUGAAUCAUCGAAUCUUUGAACGCACAUUGCGCCCGCCAGUAUUCUGGCGGGCAUGCCUGUUCGAGCGUCAUUACAACCCUCAGGCCCCCGGGCCUGGCGUUGGGGAUCGGCGGAGCCCCCCGUGGGCACACGCCGUCCCCCAAAUGCAGUGGCGGUCCCGCCGCAGCUUCCAUCGCGUAGUAGCUAACACCUCGCGACUGGAGAGCGGCGCGGCCACGCCGUAAAACACCCAACUCUUCUGAAGUUGACCUCGAAUCAGGUAGGAAUACCCGCUGAACUUAAGCAUAUCGAUAAGCGGAGGA
RNAcentral lists this unclassified non-coding RNA (352 nucleotides) under soil metagenome. RNAcentral's name for it is "partial contains 5.8S ribosomal RNA, internal transcribed spacer 2, and large subunit ribosomal RNA". The stretch from base 1 to 120 matches the Rfam family "5.8S ribosomal RNA", at positions 35 to 154 of the family's 154-position model. The record is from RNAcentral.